AAGAAUACGAAAGGUCCUCUCCUCCUCCCUGGACCGAUCGUUUCGGCGGCACCCUCCUCCUCCUCCCUGAGGGUGCCGCCAACCAGAUACCGAGGGCCCUAUCCUCCUCCCUGGGCCCAAGGG
This 123-nucleotide small RNA is filed under the name Thioclava pacifica DSM 10166. RNAcentral's name for it is "Alphaproteobacterial ar14". It matches the Rfam family "Alphaproteobacterial ar14". From Rfam's summary of the family: Smr14C2 was renamed NfeR1 (Nodule Formation Efficiency RNA) highly expressed in salt stress and during the symbiotic interaction on legume roots. Lineage: Bacteria; Pseudomonadati; Pseudomonadota; Alphaproteobacteria; Rhodobacterales; Paracoccaceae. The record is from Rfam by way of RNAcentral.